AAAGGAUGUGGCGUUGCCCAGACAACUAGGAUGUUGGCUUAGAAGCAGCCAUCAUUUAAAGAGUGCGUAAUAGCUCACUAGUCGAGUGACACUGCGCCGAAAAUGUACCGGGGCUAAACAUAUUACCGAAGCUGUGGAUUGUCCUUUGGACAAUGGUAGGAGAGCGUUCUAAGGGCGUUGAAGCAUGAUCGUAAGGAUAUGUGGAGCGCUUAGAAGUGAGAAUGCCGGUGUGAGUAGCGAAAGACGGGUGAGAAUCCCGUCCACCGAUUGACUAAGGUUUCCAGAGGAAGGCUCGUCCGCUCUGGGUUAGUCGGGUCCUAAGCUGAGGCCGACAGGCGUAGGCGAUGGAUAACAGGUUGAUAUUCCUGUACCACCUAUAAUCGUUUUAAUCGAUGGGGGGACGCAGUAGGAUAGGCGAAGCGUGCGAUUGGAUUGCACGUCUAAGCAGUAAGGCUGAGUAUUAGGCAAAUCCGGUACUCGUUAAGGCUGAGCUGUGAUGGGGAGAAGACAUUGUGUCUUCGAGUCGUUGAUUUCACACUGCCGAGAAAAGCCUCUAGAUAGAAAAUAGGUGCCCGUACCGCAAACCGACACAGGUAGUCAAGAUGAGAAUUCUAAGGUGAGCGAGCGAACUCUCGUUAAGGAACUCGGCAAAAUGACCCCGUAACUUCGGGAGAAGGGGUGCUCUUUAGGGUUAACGCCCAGAAGAGCCGCAGUGAAUAGGCCCAAGCGACUGUUUAUCAAAAACACAGGUCUCUGCUAAACCGUAAGGUGAUGUAUAGGGGCUGACGCCUGCCCGGUGCUGGAAGGUUAAGAGGAGUGGUUAGCUUCUGCGAAGCUACGAAUCGAAGCCCCAGUAAACGGCGGCCGUAACUAUAACGGUCCUAAGGUAGCGAAAUUCCUUGUCGGGUAAGUUCCGACCCGCACGAAAGGCGUAACGAUUUGGGCACUGUCUCAACGAGAGACUCGGUGAAAUCAUAGUACCUGUGAAGAUGCAGGUUACCCGCGACAGGACGGAAAGACCCCGUGGAGCUUUACUGUAGCCUGAUAUUGAAAUUCGGCACAGCUUGUACAGGAUAGGUAGGAGCCUUUGAAACGUGAGCGCUAGCUUACGUGGAGGCGCUGGUGGGAUACUACCCUAGCUGUGUUGGCUUUCUAACCCGCACCACUUAUCGUGGUGGGAGACAGUGUCAGGCGGGCAGUUUGACUGGGGCGGUCGCCUCCUAAAAGGUAACGGAGGCGCUCAAAGGUUCCCUCAGAAUGGUUGGAAAUCAUUCAUAGAGUGUAAAGGCAUAAGGGAGCUUGACUGCGAGACCUACAAGUCGAGCAGGGUCGAAAGACGGACUUAGUGAUCCGGUGGUUCCGCAUGGAAGGGCCAUCGCUCAACGGAUAAAAGCUACCCCGGGGAUAACAGGCUUAUCUCCCCCAAGAGUUCACAUCGACGGGGAGGUUUGGCACCUCGAUGUCGGCUCAUCGCAUCCUGGGGCUGUAGUCGGUCCCAAGGGUUGGGCUGUUCGCCCAUUAAAGCGGUACGCGAGCUGGGUUCAGAACGUCGUGAGACAGUUCGGUCCCUAUCCGUCGUGGGCGUAGGAAAUUUGAGAGGAGCU
RNAcentral lists this ribosomal RNA (1604 nucleotides) under Staphylococcus aureus. Its description in RNAcentral is "partial 23S ribosomal RNA". It matches the Rfam family "Bacterial large subunit ribosomal RNA", at positions 1068 to 2673 of the family's 2925-position model. The record is from RNAcentral. Lineage: Bacteria; Bacillati; Bacillota; Bacilli; Caryophanales; Staphylococcaceae.